GCAGGCCUAACACAUGCAAGUCGAGCGGCAGCGGGAAAGUAGCUUGCUACUUUUGCCGGCGAGCGGCGGACGGGUGAGUAAUGCCUGGGGAUCUGCCCAGUCGAGGGGGAUAACAGUUGGAAACGACUGCUAAUACCGCAUACGCCCUACGGGGGAAAGGAGGGGACCUUCGGGCCUUUCGCGAUUGGAUGAACCCAGGUGGGAUUAGCUAGUUGGUGGGGUAAUGGCUCACCAAGGCGACGAUCCCUAGCUGGUCUGAGAGGAUGAUCAGCCACACUGGAACUGAGACACGGUCCAGACUCCUACGGGAGGCAGCAGUGGGGAAUAUUGCACAAUGGGGGAAACCCUGAUGCAGCCAUGCCGCGUGUGUGAAGAAGGCCUUCGGGUUGUAAAGCACUUUCAGCGAGGAGGAAAGGUUGGCGCCUAAUACGUGUCAACUGUGACGUUACUCGCAGAAGAAGC
This 462-nucleotide ribosomal RNA is filed under the name Aeromonas salmonicida. Its description in RNAcentral is "bacterial SSU rRNA". It matches the Rfam family "Bacterial small subunit ribosomal RNA", at positions 42 to 491 of the family's 1533-position model. The record is from RNAcentral. Lineage: Bacteria; Pseudomonadati; Pseudomonadota; Gammaproteobacteria; Aeromonadales; Aeromonadaceae.